CUAUGUACUAUGUAGUAUUUACUACUGUCACCAAUGACCAAUCGCCAUUUUGAAUUGAAAGAAGACCGAUUAUUGAUAAUUCAUAUUAAUUAUUAUUAAAAUAAUAACUUUGUAGUUGUGAAAGCCGUUUUGUGUCGACUGUUGUAAAUUUUUAAUUAAGUGUUAUGGAAGUAACGUUUAUGUAAAUUAAAAUACAGACAGAAAACCACAUUUUUACCGCAAAUAUGAAUAACAAGGAGAGCUAUAAUGAUGAUUUAUUUCAAUACAUAAAAGUAAGUGAGGACGAAGAUGAAUCUAAUGCAGUGGAAAUUCCUUGUGAAUUAAACGGAACACUUUUACUAUCAACAUUAGUAGCACAGUUUCCUGGGGCGUGUGGACUUAAAUUUCGGAAUCCUGAAAACAAAUGUGUUCGAGGUUUACGGCUUAGCGAUGGCAAGCUGCACCCUCCCACAGAAGCUGGAUGGGGUAAGCACCUUUACACCUGUGUUUUUCCUAAAGAAAAUAAACGGAAAAUGGAAGAUGUGUCUCCAGAAAAUUCUGCGGCUAAGACUAAGCGAUUAGAAAAAAAACUCAUAUGCUCUGACUUAAUAUGUUUGGGAUUGCCUUGGAAGUCUACUGAAGAGUCUAUAAAGCAAUACUUUGAGCAAUUUGGUGAAGUUGUAAUGGUGCAAUUAAAAAAAGAUAAGAAUGGAUCAUUUAAAGGCUUUGGUUUUAUUCGUUUUGCUACUUAUGCAUCUCAAAUGAGAGCACUAGCUCAAAGACAUAAUAUUGAUGGUCGAUGGGUAGAUGUGCGUAUUCCUAAUUCUAAAGAAGGUGUUGUGCCACAAAUGCCCUGUAAAGUAUUUGUAGGCAGGUGCACUGAAGACAUGACAGCAGAUGAUCUCAGAGAAUAUUUUUCCAAAUUUGGAGAGGUCACAGAUGUUUUUGUUCCAAGACCUUUUAGAGCUUUUGGAUUUGUGACUUUCUUAGAUCCAGAAGUAGCGCAGAGUCUUUGUGGGGAGGAUCAUGUUAUUAAAGGAGCUUCUGUCUCAGUUUCUAGUGCAGCACCAAAAAUUAAAAACAAAAACAAUCCAACAUGGAAAGAGGAACAAUAUGGAUCCAAUAGUUGGGAUGGAAAUCAUUCAGGCCCCUCUGGUGGCUCAACCAACAAUGGAGGAAGCAGUAACAUUGAUUCUUUGAAUAUGCAAAACUUGGGUAUAAAUCCCAACGGAGGUGGACCACCACCCAAUUUUAAUUUACCAAUAAGCCUUGUAGCUGCUGCCUUAAAUCAGGCCGGUUGGAGUGGGUUUUUGGGUCCUAACAAUUCUGGGCCAAAUAAUUGGGGCCAAAAUGGUCCGCCCCAGAACAGCAACUCAGGUAAAAACUGGAAUAAUAAUCCUAAUUGGAACCAAAAUGGACCACCACCAUCGUGGAAUCAAGGCAACCCUAAUUGGAAUGGUAAUAAAAAUGGCAAUUGGAACCAAGGCAAUUGGUCAAAUGGGCAAGGUUGGGGUGGCAAUGGUGGCUCCGGGCCAGCAGGCUCUAACAGUGGAUGGAACAACAAACCUCAAACAUAAGCGAGGAAAGGUAAUAUAACAUGAAGCAGAUGCCUUGGUGUCUGAAUGUGUGAUGUGGAGUCUCCUGAAGAUAGAAAUAAUUAAAGCUGCCUAUUCUCUGUGACAUAUUGGAGCUCUUAACUAUGGAUUUAACUAAUAUCAGUGACCCUGAAGGAUGUCUUGUGUGGUUUAAAGGUUGAACUGAACAGUCCUUUCGCCGAAGAAUCUCAAUAAAUCUGGUGAAAUUUUUCAAGAAAAAUAGGUAAGUUGUAAUAUAUUGUUAUUUUAAUUAUACAUAAGAUUUUUUUGUUACAGGGAAUGGACUAGGAUGGCGGGGAGAUGAAAUCAUUUACAUAAUAAAAUUUUUAAAAAUAAAACUAUUUUUCUAUUAAA
RNA transcript from Pieris napi, 1928 nucleotides. It is a transcript of the gene named TAR DNA-binding protein 43-like, with no coding region annotated. The transcript is spliced from 4 exons. The record is from RefSeq and is a predicted model, not a curated record. NCBI's taxonomy places the organism in Eukaryota, Metazoa, Arthropoda, Insecta, Lepidoptera, Pieridae.